GUUACGCAUUAGUUAUUACCGGGGCACCACAUUGUCUCCUAUUUGGUUGGCGUCUUUAACCAAUUUGAAAGAGCUUUGUCUCUAUUACGCCAGGGAGUUAAUGAGUUUGCCUUCUUUGGGGAUGAUUCCGAGCCUCGAAUCAUUAACUAUAUCGUUUGCGCAGAGAUUGAAAAAAGUUGGAGUUGAUUUUUUGGGAAUAGAAUCUGAAAACAAGAAAGAAGACAUGAAAAUAUUCCCAAAUUUGAAAUAUCUCGAAUUCUUUGGUUUGGGCGAGUGGGAAGAAUGGAUUGGAGGAACGAGAGAAGGAGGAAAAGAAGACGAAGACUGUAUUACUAUAAUGCCGCGUCUUCAAAAGUUGACAAUUCACUACUGCAGAAAGUUAAAGUCGUUGCCGGAUUUCCUGCGAACAACUCCAUUGAAGGAAUUGGAGAUCGGUGACUGUCCAAUUAUCAAGAAACGUUGCCGAAGAGAGACAGGAGUGGACUGGCGCAACAUUUCUCACAUCCCAAUCAUCAAAUUAACUGAUACUCCAUUCCCUACGUUGCGGUAAACAAACAAUGACCUUUCCGUAAUUUUAUCAAAUUCUGGCAAAACUCACAACGACACUGUCAGCAAUGGUUUUCUGAAGGGCGUGUGAGCAAGUCUGAAUCAAUAAAGGUGUUUGAAGUACUUCAUUACAUGGAAGUGUGUGAAGUGCACAAAGUGACCAUCAAGGAUUCGGGCAAGAAGGAGACAAAAUACCUUGGAUUAUGUACUCUUCUACUUUCAAAUGCCUAUACUAUUUUCUGAGUUCGUGGCUUCAGCCUUCCUGCACAGUCAGCAACUUAUUUUCCAAGUACAUGAACCAAAUAAACUCUGGGUUCUGGUAGACUGGUACUGCAUAUCUCAUCUCAAAAGUCUAAGCCUAUUGGAGAAGAGUUGUCUAUACUGUUGAAAAUUGUUAGGCAAGGAUGCACCUCAAAAUAGAAUGCACUGAACCUCUUUCAUCAACAGGUUUAUCGUGGUUUGCCAUCCAAACAACUGUGGGAGUUGAGUACUUGUUUAACCAUAUGGCAAAGCAAAAGGCAUUAUAUCCAACAGGGAAACCCCAGCAGAGAAUUCACCAUUUGCUGAAACCAAUUUGUCAGUUGGUUUCUCAACUGGAAGAGAUGUGCCUCUAAGAGUGUCUAGUGUAUUAGAUGAAGAUAGAGGAAGAGUUGUAGCAGACAUAGAUCAAUGAAGAAAAUUGAGAUAUCCAUAAGAAAUGCAAGAGUCCAAUAUGGUUUACUAGUUCCUCCUAGUAGCAGCCGGAGGGUGAUACAAGUCAAACAAGUGGAAUCUCACUUGAGAUAGGGAGCAACCCAAAAACCUUGGUGGGAAUGGACACACACUAACGAAUAUCAGUUGCACAAUCUAAAAGGAUAUGCUUUCAGAUUCAGAAGCUUGGGAUGCAACUCAACUUCUAUAGUGACAUAUUGGAUUCAAAGUACAAAUCAAUUUAUUGCAGGUUCUCAAGAUUUCAUUUUCAUGUAUUGACUAUUGAAUAUGUAUUGAUUUAGGGUGUGUGCAUUAGUGCUCUAUAUUUUGGAAAAGUAUCUUAUGAGACUGUUUCAUGAGAA
This is an RNA transcript of Quercus robur (English oak), 1598 nucleotides long. It is a transcript of the gene named putative disease resistance protein At3g14460, with no coding region annotated. The record is from RefSeq and is a predicted model, not a curated record. The transcript is spliced from 6 exons. Lineage: Eukaryota; Viridiplantae; Streptophyta; Magnoliopsida; Fagales; Fagaceae.